CCACCUGGGCUGAGUGACAUCUGCCUGGCAUUCACAGCAUGGAGGAUGUUCAGAAUGGCUCUCACCUGAGUACUGUGCAUGUAAGCUUCCUCCAGGGGUUUUCAUGAUGCGAUAGGGUUUCCAGCUUCAUGGCAGAGUUUUCUGAAACAAGUUACAGCAUUCCGAUAGGGCAGGUACACCUGAGCCAGGGUGUGACCCAGGCACUGAUGUCCUCAUGGCCAUGAAGAAAGGACUGACUGCAGGAGGGAAAGUACCACUGACACAGACUUUGUGCUGCACAGACUCCAGCCUCUGUGGCUUUGUCUCCAUGGGAAAGAGCCACCUUCACCUGCAGGGCCGUUCAGAGUGUUGGUAGCUCCUUAGCCUGAUACCAGCAGAAGCCUGAGCAGGCUCUCAGAUACCACAUCUAUGGUGCAUCCAGCAGGGUCAGUGGCAUCCCAGCCCGGUUCAGUGGCAGUGGGUCAGGGACAGACUAUACCCUGUCCAUCAGCAGCUUGAAGGCUGGGGAUUCUGCAGUUUAUUACUGUGUGCAAGGACAUACAUAUUGCCAC
This is a long non-coding RNA of Marmota flaviventris (yellow-bellied marmot), 551 nucleotides long. RefSeq lists it as uncharacterized. Lineage: Eukaryota; Metazoa; Chordata; Mammalia; Rodentia; Sciuridae. The record is from RefSeq and is a predicted model, not a curated record.